CCUACGGGUGGCAGCAGUGGGGAAUAUUGCACAAUGGGGGAAACCCUGAUGCAGCGACGCCGCGUGAGUGAAGAAGUAUUUCGGUAUGUAAAGCUCUAUCAGCAGGGAAGAAGAAAGACGGUACCUGACUAAGAAGCCUCGGCUAACUACGUGCCAGCAGCCGCGGGAAUACGUAGGGCGCAAGCGUUAGACGGAUUUACUGGGGGAAAAGGGAGCGUAGACGGCGGUGCAAGACUGAAGUGAAAGCCCGUGGCUCAACCGGGGAACUGCUUUGGAAACUGUAUAGCUUGAGUCCUUGAGAGGCAGGCGGAAUUCCUAGUGUAGCGGUGAAAUGCGUAGAUAUUAGGAGGAACACCAGUGGCGAAGGCGGCCUGCUGGACAGAAACUGACGUUGAGGCUCGAAAGCGUGGGGAGCAAACAGGAUUAGAUACCCGAGUAGUC
Molecule: ribosomal RNA, 441 nt
Filed under: uncultured bacterium
Lineage: Bacteria
Description: partial 16S ribosomal RNA
Rfam family: Bacterial small subunit ribosomal RNA
Source: RNAcentral